CCUUGUAUGAAUAUGGGUGAAUGAGUCAUGUUCUAAAAAGCGCUCUGAGUAAAAGAGUAGAAAAGGUGUCAUAUAAGCACUAAUCCAUUUACCAUUUAGAAAGUUUUUUAUUACGGAUGAAAUAAUUUAUUUGAUUCUUGGUGUCAAGAAAAACUACAAAGUGAAGUAGGUUCAUUAAAUUGUGAGUCAUGGGUCUUUUUUAAUGUGCGGGCGCCAUCUAGUGAGGGAUCACAGGAUUACACCAGAUCUGACGAAUUCAAGACCUCAUUUUUAAGUGGAUAGGUCACACGGGGAGGUCACGGUUUGUUUUAGACCACUCCAAAUUAUAUGUAGUUGUUGGUGCACGUGUACAUGUUUUAUGCUUUUUAGGGCAGGGGUGUGGGGGGGAGUGGGGAGAAAGAAAUGCCCUCAAAGCAGUUACAAAGUGACAGAUGGGAAUCCGCGUCACGUUGCAAAAAAAUCCACGGGUGACAUGCACACAGAGCUUCGAGCAAAGGUUUCGAGUCUCGCUGCACGCGCGCAUCUUCACAGCCUGCGUCCUCGCCAUGACAACCGGUGUUCUGACAAACCGGCUCGCAUCACACACUAAUCCACCGAUGUUUAUUUUUAGCAGCGAGCCACUCUCGUUCAGCACACGUCCCAUGUUCAUGCCGUCAAUUAUUCAUAUGUUUUAGGCCUGCAGCGACCACAGAGCGGGACUAACACAAGUCGGAGUUGCGGGAUGCCGAGAACCAGCCAGGGUGCAGAAAUGCACCCGAAAACUGGCAGACAGCAGACCAACAAGCAGCCAGCUGCACAGAUAAGAUCAUUUUACAUUCAGCAAAAAUGGAUAAAAAAGCCACCAAAGGUCCCACAGCCACCAGAGCCAGACUACAGACAAUGCAAAGGCCCACUCAGUGCUGCAAACCAUCCGGCAAACCAGACACCAUCCAGGACUGACUACAUGAGCAUCUAUCAAAAUGAUUUUAAACACUGGGAGGGCAGCAAGCGCCAGCCAAUCAUCCUGAAAGACAGUCUGACAGUCAAGCAUGGAUUAGGCAACAUGCUCGCACUGGCGAAGGAACCAGAACGCAUUGCAAACACCACCAGCUAUAAAUCGGAUUACAUCCCCCACCCAACAAACCCCAGACCAGUCAAGCUGAAGCACUCUAACCAAAGCAGCAAGGAUCUCCCGCUGGAGCCGAGACUGCCCUUCAAGCCAAAGCAGCCUUGGUCUACACACCAACACCUUGACAAAGGCAGUGAUUUUUUUGAGAAGUUCAACAGUUGUUCCCUUGAAACCAAGUUUCAGGGCCACACCACAGAUUUCUCUUCACCAGCAGACCACAGCGUUCACUGCCAGGUGAAAAAUCUGCCAGCCCUCGAGAUAAACGACGUCCCCCGCCAUGCAGCGAGUACCGUGACGGACGACUACAGAGUCUGGCAUUCGCCGCAAAGCUUCACCACUGUGAGAACCACUUUGUCAGUGGGCAAACCUAAAUCUCCUGACGACAGCAAAGCCAGCCCAAAGACUUUGAGACAACACGCCAAAAUACACAAGGCCGCAGCCUGUAAUUCCUCCAGAGGUGCCACACAGAAACCACAGAGUCCUGCAGACACUGAACUGCUUUCUAGCUUCGAAUGCUCCACAGAGAACGGAGAAUCUAAGAUGUACUGGUACAGCGAUUUGGGCCGAGGAGGGACUUGGCCUGAUGGCGACAGCUGUAUAGACCACAGCAACCAAAUAAUCAGCUGCAUGGUUUCUACCAGAAACUAAGGUGGCUGACAAGGUGUGGUCCCGCCACAUAUUACCUCAG
RNAcentral lists this long non-coding RNA (1796 nucleotides) under Oreochromis niloticus (Nile tilapia). Its description in RNAcentral is "lncRNA (ENSONIG00000027261.1)". Lineage: Eukaryota; Metazoa; Chordata; Actinopteri; Cichliformes; Cichlidae. The record is from RNAcentral.